GGAUUCAAUCCCUAGUGCAAAAGAAAAAAAAAAAGAAGAAGAAGAAGAACAACAACAACAACUGUGGUUGGAUCCCCUUCCACUGCUGAGUAGGCACCUUCAGUAACUUAUUUCAGCUGAGCCUCAGUUUCCUCAUCUAUAAGUAGGGGAUGACGAUAGUAUCUACCAUACAGGAUUACUGAAAGAUGGAACAAGAUGCCUGGGAUAGAGGACAUAUUCAAUAUUUUUGUGGUUAUUAUCAUGAUUCUUUUUAUUAGAGCACUGAAAGACAGGUAGGACCUAUAGACGGGGCCAUUGGGAAGAGGCUGGGUUCUGGGGAGUGGCAGUCCUCACCCCUCCAAGGAAGAAACCUCAGCUCCCUCAUGGGGCCAUCUCUCUGUUCAAACACCCAGGAACAUCCCUAGAACUCAGUCCCAACCAUACAGAGGUGUCUACUAAGGCAGGCCUCUCAGCCUGACCUUUGCCUACUGUUUAUCCAGAACAUCAGGGGAGGAAAGGGGACCUGUUGAAGCACAUCCUGGGGACAGGGUUGGACUCAGGCUGAACCCGCAUGGCUGGAAGCAAGGCCUCUCUGACCCAGGGCCCUUCCUGCUUUCUUGCUGUGGGGAUUUGUUAACCUUUGCCCUUCCCCAGAGCCCCAGGGUUGCCGUUUAGGCCCUCUGCAUGUCCGGCUCUCUGUCCCUGGCUCUGCCCGAGGCUCGCCUGCCUGUCCUGUCCAGGCAGGCUUUCCCAACACAAGGCCAACACAAUGCCCCAUCUAGAUCAAAUACAGGAUGCCCAGAUGCCUUUGAAUUUCUGAUAAG
RNAcentral lists this long non-coding RNA (803 nucleotides) under Marmota monax (woodchuck). Lineage: Eukaryota; Metazoa; Chordata; Mammalia; Rodentia; Sciuridae. The record is from RNAcentral.